CACAAGAGCGCACCAUACGCAUCCACAUCUCUCACCCUUUUCACCAAUCGCCGUCCCUUCCCCCUCCCUCCCUGCUCGCUCACCGAGCCCCACAAUCUCCUUAUUACCCUCAUUAAGACCACGCACACGCACCAACAAGCGGUGCCCGUCGUCAUAGCCAAGAUCCAUUCUCGCUCUCUCUCUCGCUCCGUACGAAUCAUCCAUGUCGGACGACGACGUACACGAGCGCCUCACCACCAUCCCUGGUUCGUGCCCGACGCCACUGGAGUUGGGCAUGUCGGGAUGGAACAUCCUCCACUCCUCGGCUGCCGUCUACCCGUACAAGCCGUCCGCCGUGCAGCAGACUGCGAUGAAGAACUUUAUUGAGUCGUGGGCGCACGUGUACGCGUGCAGCUGGUGUGCCUACCACAUGCGGGAGUACGUGCGCGACCACCCGCCAGACGUGCGCGACAAGCUCACCGUCUCACGAUACGUUUGUGAGAUGCACAACGACGUGAAUGUGCGGCUUGGCAAGGACGUAUUCGACUGCUCCCCUAGCGUGGUGCUGCGUCGGUGGCACCCCGGGUACCCAAACAAGAUGGAGGAUAUGCCAACGAUCGAGGAGCAGCUGGCGGCGUCGGACCGGGAGAAGUCCACAGCGAAGGAGGCGAAGCAUAGUCAGCAAGAGGAGGAACAAGGCUUCAGCAGGUCCGGGCUGCACGCCCACGAGGCGGCCCCGAACGAAGCUGUAGCUUGGCGAACCGCAAGUGAGGCAGCAUCGAAGAAAGUAGAUGGCGGCCUGUGGAGCUGGCGAAUCUUUCGCAAGCCAGUCUUAGGAACACAUGCAGCCAAGAGCAACGCACCUCCGGGUACGAGCUCGUCAUCUCCGCCUCCGACUACGCAGCACGAGCCGAGCAUCUCCUCCUCAGGCGCACUGAAGGCCCCAUCGACAGGUGCGGUGGCGGCAGCCGCGUCUGACGUUGGUGCUGCCCAUCCCCGCCACAGCUGGUCCACCUCCACCUCGGAGGCGCACAACAGCUUUCUGACGCCCACCCCGUCACGCGGCAAGGCCGCCGAUGACGACACCGACAUCGAUGCCGUUCUCAAGCGUCUAAAGCGGUGUCAAGUGUACUGCCCAGAGGACGAAGAACUCAAGCACUAGCGAGCCUGCACAUGGGUGUUAUCCUCUGUUGAUGCAUACACUUACACAUAUGUGUAUGUGUAUGUGUGUGUGUGUGUAUGUGUGGGCGGCCUUCAAACUCGCCGAGCGAACCAGCGGGAAGGGAGGAGGGAGAGGCACAUACGUAUGGUUAGUC
RNAcentral lists this unclassified non-coding RNA (1295 nucleotides) under Leishmania donovani. RNAcentral describes it as "gene:LdHU3.15.1310(CDS-product:FAD-linked_sulfhyd ryl_oxidase_putative)". The record is from RNAcentral. Lineage: Eukaryota; Euglenozoa; Kinetoplastea; Trypanosomatida; Trypanosomatidae.